GAUAGUUCAGUUGGCUAGAGCGUGGUGCUGAUAAUGCCAAGGUCGCAGGUUCGAGCCCCAUAAACA
This is a non-coding RNA of Podarcis lilfordi (Lilford's wall lizard), 66 nucleotides long. Lineage: Eukaryota; Metazoa; Chordata; Lepidosauria; Squamata; Lacertidae. The record is from the annotation of a GenBank genome assembly.